Molecule: unclassified non-coding RNA, 2665 nt
Filed under: Leishmania donovani
Lineage: Eukaryota; Euglenozoa; Kinetoplastea; Trypanosomatida; Trypanosomatidae
Description: gene:LdHU3.32.0750(CDS-product:ATP-dependent_DEAD /H_RNA_helicase_putative)
Source: RNAcentral
GUAGUGUGUAGCACGUGCACCCACACCUGUACCUUCAGCUCAUCUCUCCUCCUAUCCUUGCUCCCACGUACAUCCGUACUUACGCCAUCUCGCAAGUGCACAUUUGUGCUUUGCCAGGAUGGAUGCCUUCCGGUCGUUGACGAUCGGCACCAAAUUCAGCGCUGCCCGAAACGGGGAGGCGGCGAAGUUGUUUCGCAACGCGGGCAAGGACAAGGGCAGCCGCGGAUUUCCUGACGCUAUCGGCGCUGAUGGAGCAGUUGCCCUUGAGACGCAUCGGACAUGGGCAGCAGCAGCCUGUCAGUGCCGCCUCCCAGUGCGACGCUGAACCUUUUUGGACGCCCCACAAGGAGUCAAGCUGACGCAAAUGCGCACCUCGGUAUUUCAGGCGGCUCGGACGCUGUCGCUGCCGCCAACACCGCCUCCGACGACAAGGCGCUAAAGGCAAUAACCUUCAAGAAGAAGCGCAACAUCUGGCGCCGCAACGAUCUGCAGGUGACGGGAACGGACUUGCCGGCACCGAUCGAGCACUUCUCCGACCUCGUGCGCCCACCGCUAAGCGUGCCGCGCAAUGUAGUGAACAACCUCUUCGUCCGUCAGCACAAAGUGCCCACCCCAAUCCAGAUGCAAGCGAUCUCAUCCCUCAUCCACCACCGCGACGUGCUUGCCUGCGCACCGACCGGCUCCGGCAAGACGAUUGCGUUUCUCGUCCCUCUUUUUGCGCUGCUCAAGGCACCGGAUGCGUCCUGCGGUGUGCGUGCCCUCAUUGUGACACCCACCGCCGAGCUUGCCCAGCAGAUCGAGCGCGAGGCAUUCUUCUUGAUGAAGGGUCAGCGAUGGAAAUUUGUGCAGCACGGCCAGACGACCAAGAACAAGGACAUUUUCAUUGCCACGCCCGGCCGUAUUGUGUCGCUGCUCGAGCAGAAGCUGCUAGACUUGAGCAACGUGCAGUAUCUCGUGUUCGACGAGGGCGAUCGCUUGUGGGACAGCAGGACGGACUUCUUGACUGUGAUUGACAGGAUUCUCACUGCAUGUACGCGCACCGACAAGGUCGUCAGCCUGUUUACGGCCACGCUGAGCGAGAAGGUCGAGGCAGCUGCCCGCUCCGUCAUGGGCGCCGACCCAGUGCGCAUAAUUGUCCAUGGCCGACGCUCUGCGAACACGCACGUGAAACAGCGAUUGAUCUUCUGCGGCAAUGAGCUCGGCAAAGUCGUAGCGAUGCGCAACCUUGUGCGGGAGGGCAUCACGCCGCCGGUGCUCGUGUUCGUGCAGAGCGUGGAGCGGUCCAAGGAGCUGUACGAGGAGAUUCGGGCAGAAGGCCUGCACAUGGCUAUCAUGCAUGCCAAGAUGACCGUGGAGCAGCGUGAGGAGACGGUGCUGCAGUUCCGUCUCGGCAAAAUCUGGGUCCUUGUGACGACGGAGCUGCUUGCGCGCGGUAUCGACUUCAAGAACGUGGGCACAGUCAUCAACUUCGAUUUUCCAGCAACUGUCGACUCGUAUAUCCACCGCGUGGGUCGCACGGGCCGCGCCGGAAAGGAGGGAACGGCGAUUACGUUUUUUACGGAGGACGACAAGGAGCGACUUCCCCCGAUCGCGAAGGUGAUGCAGGACUCUGGGAACGCCGUGGAGGAUUGGAUACUGGGCAUCAAGGUGGAUCGCAGCACCCGCCGCCGUCUUGAGCGCACAACACCGCAGCGCACCAUUGUCAGCACGCGGAAGCGCAUGCUGGUGGCCCAGCAGCGUAUGCAGCGUCAGUACCGCCGUCUGGAGGCGGAGGAGAACGAGAAGAAGGCAGCGAGGAAAGCCUCCAAGAGGCGCAAGGGCCGCGGGGACUGCGAACGCAACGACGGCGAUGACAGCAUGGAUGAUGAGUAGCAACCCGUGCACAUGCGCAUGCGCUUGUGUGUGUGCGCCAGUGUACAGCUGCGGCAGUACUCUUUCACUCAGUCAGCUGAACACGCUCUCCUCGUCCCAUCCACGCCACCGUUCGACUAGGGACAUCAACCAAACAACGUUUAAACCGCAAGGGUGGGGGUGGACCACCGCGAGGGUACCGCGGUCGCUUCGUAGCCCCGCGUGCUUCGGCUCCUCUUCCCUUGCGGCCCAUGCCAGCCGCCGGUAACACAGAUUUUGUGUAACAUAACACUACAAGAACUAGAACUUGCACGGGAGUGACUGACGCGGCAGACGAGACACGUGAGACACUUGACGUCGUCGAGCCCGCAGAGGACAGCAUCGCGCCUCUCUUCAAGCAAGGCCUCUUUUCCUGAGAGCAAGGGGCAACCGGAGAGCAGAUUCACCGUUUCUCGAUGGCCUCUUCGUCCUUUGAAACCGCAGAGGAUGCCCUGUCCUUCCGAUUAAUACGUGCGCGGAUGAAGGUCGUGGACCCUCUUUUCUCUUGCCCCCCAUCCCCUCGCUUGCCAAUGUCCUUUACGGCAUCGGCACAAAUCUGUUUUCGUUCGCUCUCUCACCACGCACGUUUCGUGCAUGUGGCGGUGAAGCGCUAAAUGAAUGCCGAUGGAGAUGUGCGCCGGCUCCUCUUGUCACGCCUUCACCGCCUUCACCGCUGAACCCUCCUUCCCUCUCCCUUUCUCCGUGAUUUCUACUUCUGCCGCGCGCACGUGCGCUGAGCCGAACGCCUACCCUCCCCUUCUCUUCCUCGUUGAAG